AUAGUUUGAUGAUGGCUCAGAAUGAACGCUAGCGGCAGGCCUAAUACAUGCAAGUCGAGGGGCAGCACGAGUACUUGUACUUGGUGGCGACCGGCGCACGGGUGCGUAACGCGUAUGCAAUUUACCCAUUACUGGGGGAUAGCCCGGGGAAACUCGGAUUAAUACCCCAUGGUAUCAUAAAGCAGCAUUGUUUAAUGAUUAAAGAUUUAUUGGUAAUGGAUGAGCAUGCGUCUGAUUAGUUAGUUGGUAAGGUAACGGCUUACCAAGACGAUGAUCAGUAGGGGGUCUGAGAGGAUGAUCCCCCACACUGGAACUGAGACACGGUCCAGACUCCUACGGGAGGCAGCAGUAGGGAAUAUUGGUCAAUGGGCGAGAGCCUGAACCAGCCAUGCCGCGUGCAGGAUGACGGCCUUCUGGGUUGUAAACUGCUUUUAUACAGGAAGAAAAAGGCCUUGCGAGGCAAAUUGCCGGUACUGUAUGAAUAAGCACCGGCUAACUCCGUGCCAGCAGCCGCGGUAAUACGGAGGGUGCAAGCGUUGUCCGGAUUUAUUGGGUUUAAAGGGUGCGUAGGCGGGUCUUUAAGUCUGUGGUGAAAGCCCAUCGCUCAACGAUGGAACUGCCAUGGAUACUGGAGGUCUUGAAUUCAGUUGAGGUAGGCGGAAUUGAUGGUGUAGCGGUGAAAUGCAUAGAUACCAUCAGGAACACCGAUUGCGAAGGCAGCUUACUGGGCUUGAAUUGACGCUGAGGCACGAAAGCGUGGGGAGCGAAC
RNAcentral lists this ribosomal RNA (769 nucleotides) under uncultured Flexibacteraceae bacterium. RNAcentral's name for it is "bacterial SSU rRNA". It matches the Rfam family "Bacterial small subunit ribosomal RNA", at positions 8 to 773 of the family's 1533-position model. Lineage: Bacteria; Pseudomonadati; Bacteroidota; Cytophagia; Cytophagales; Cytophagaceae. The record is from RNAcentral.